GAUGAACGCUAGCUACAGGCUUAACACAUGCAAGUCGAGGGGAAACGAUAUUGGAAGCUUGCUUCUGAUAGGCGUCGACCGGCGCACGGGUGAGUAACGCGUAUCCAACCUGCCCAUCACUUGGGGAUAACCUUGUGAAAGUAAGACUAAUACCCAAUGACGUCUCUAGAAGACAUCUGAAAGAGAUUAAAGAUUUAUCGGUGAUGGAUGGGGAUGCGUCUGAUUAGCUUGUUGGCGGGUAACGGCCCACCAAGGCGACGAUCAGUAGGGGUUCUGAGAGGAAGGUCCCCCACAUUGGAACUGAGACACGGUCCAAACUCCUACGGGAGGCAGCAGUGAGGAAUAUUGGUCAAUGGACGAGAGUCUGAACCAGCCAAGUAGCGUGCAGGAAGACGGCCCUAUGGGUUGUAAACUGCUUUUAUAAGGGAAUAAAGUGAGUCUCGUGAGACUUUUUGCAUGUACCUUAUGAAUAAGGACCGGCUAAUUCCGUGCCAGCAG
This 498-nucleotide ribosomal RNA is filed under the name uncultured bacterium. RNAcentral's name for it is "bacterial SSU rRNA". It matches the Rfam family "Bacterial small subunit ribosomal RNA", at positions 28 to 514 of the family's 1533-position model. The record is from RNAcentral.